This 585-nucleotide ribosomal RNA is filed under the name Triticum aestivum (bread wheat). RNAcentral describes it as "partial small subunit ribosomal RNA". The record is from RNAcentral. Lineage: Eukaryota; Viridiplantae; Streptophyta; Magnoliopsida; Poales; Poaceae.
AUGGUUAACGGGACAAACAGAGAACUCGGAUACGUUGAAACAAGAGAAAGAAUGGAAGAAGCUGUGGGGGGUACAGGUGCCUGCCAAACUUGGAGGCGAUUGGCCCGGGCGUCUCCCCCGACGGGCCAAGAACGGGUGAGGAGGCAUAUGACAGAAGAUGCAACCUGUCCGAUCUGUUUGGCAGUUGUCGACUCAUGGAGGCAUGCUCUCCUCAACUGUAACAUGGCCAAAGGAGUGUGGUCACUCCGGGAUGAUGAUGCACUACUCCUGGUCUAUGGCGACGAGACACUGGACCCCAAGUUUUGGCUUUUCAGUCUGCGUGAUACAUUGAGCAAGGAUAAAUUCAUCUCUGUCCUAGCCACACUAUGGACAAUCUAUGACUGUGGCAUAUUCCUGGGGGCGUCCGCGGUAGUAUUUCAAGGUGUGACAGAACUUGCUACUCUGGAGGCGUGCGCGUGUAGAGAAGCUUUAGCUCUUGCGGAGGACCUGGCCGUCUCAAAAGCACGCAUUGCAUCUGACUGUCUGAGAGUCAUAAACAACCUAAAGAGCGAGCGGAACUUAGGCGAGUACUGCAUGAUCCUUUGA